Molecule: long non-coding RNA, 127 nt
Filed under: Strongylocentrotus purpuratus (purple sea urchin)
Lineage: Eukaryota; Metazoa; Echinodermata; Echinoidea; Camarodonta; Strongylocentrotidae
Description: uncharacterized LOC115927328
Source: RNAcentral
UAUUUAGAGGCCAGAAUUCCAGGUUUAGGAAAAUGGCAACGGUAUUUCAGAGUCGCUAGCAAUUUCCGCAAAACAAGUUGAAUAAAAUAGCUCAACUGGCAUAUCGUUGAGUUCAUAUACAACCAAG